UACGGAGGAUGCAAGCGUUAUCCGGAUUUAUUGGGUUUAAAGGGUGCGUAGGCGGAUUAAUAAGUCAGUGGUGAAAACCUGCAGCUUAACUGUAGAACUGCCAUUGAUACUGUUAGUCUUGAGUAUGGUCAAGGUAGGCGGAAUGUGUAAUGUAGCGGUGAAAUGCUUAGAUAUUACACAGAACACCGAUUGCGAAGGCAGCUUACUGGACCAUUACUGACGCUGAGGCACGAAAGCGUGGGGAGCGAACAGG
This 253-nucleotide ribosomal RNA is filed under the name uncultured bacterium. RNAcentral describes it as "partial 16S ribosomal RNA". It matches the Rfam family "Bacterial small subunit ribosomal RNA", at positions 524 to 776 of the family's 1533-position model. The record is from RNAcentral.